AGAGUUUGAUCAUGGCUCAGGAUGAACGCUGGCGGCGUGCCUAACACAUGCAAGUCGAACGAAGCACCUUACCGGAUUCUUCGGAUGAAAGUUUGGUGACUGAGUGGCGGACGGGUGAGUAACGCGUGGGUAACCUGCCCUGUACAGGGGGAUAACAGCUGGAAACGGCUGCUAAUACCGCAUAAGCGCACGAGGAGACAUCUCCUAGUGUGAAAAACUCCGGUGGUACAGGAUGGGCCCGCGUCUGAUUAGCUGGUUGGCAGGGUAACGGCCUACCAAGGCAACGAUCAGUAGCCGGUCUGAGAGGAUGAACGGCCACAUUGGAACUGAGACACGGCCCAGACUCCUACGGGAGGCAGCAGUGGGGAAUAUUGCACAAUGGGGGAAACCCUGAUGCAGCGACGCCGCGUGGAGGAAGAAGGUCUUCGGAUUGUAAACUCCUGUUGUUGAGGAAGAUAAUGACGAUACUCAACAAGGAAGUGACGGCUAACUACGUGCCAGCAGCCGCGGUAAAACGUAGGUCACAAGCGUUGUCCGGAAUUACUGGGUGUAAAGGGAGCGCAGGCGGGAGAACAAGUUGGAAGUGGAAUCCAUGGGCUUAACCCAUGAACUGCUUUCAAAACUGUUUUUCUUGAGUAGUGCAGAGGUAGGCGGAAUUCCCGGUGUAGCGGUGGAAUGCGUAGAUAUCGGGAGGAACACCAGUGGCGAAGGCGGCCUACUGGGCACCAACUGACGCUGAGGCUCGAAAGUGUGGGUAGCAAACAGGAUUAGAUACCCUGGUAGUCCACACCGUAAACGAUGAUUACUAGGUGUUGGAGGAUUGACCCCUUCAGUGCCGCAGUUAACACAAUAAGUAAUCCACCUGGGGAGUACGACCGCAAGGUUGAAACUCAAAGGAAUUGACGGGGGCCCGCACAAGCAGUGGAGUAUGUGGUUUAAUUCGACGCAACGCGAAGAACCUUACCAAGUCUUGACAUCCCUUGACGAUGCUGGAAACAGUAUUUCUCUUCGGAGCAAGGAGACAGGUGGUGCAUGGUUGUCGUCAGCUCGUGUCGUGGGAUGUUGGGUUAAGUCCCGCAACGAGCGCAACCCUUAUGGUCAGUUACUACGCAAGAGGGCUCUGGCCAGACUGCCGUUGACAAAACGGAGGAAGGUGGGGAUGACGUCAAAUCAUCAUGCCCUUUAUGACUUGGGCUACACACGUACUACAAUGGCGUUAAACAAAGAGAAGCAAGACCGCGAGGUGGAGCAAAACUCAGAAACAACGUCCCAGUUCGGACUGCAGGCUGCAACUCGCCUGCACGAAGUCGGAAUUGCUAGUAAUCGUGGAUCAGCAUGCCACGGUGAAUACGUUCCCGGGCCUUGUACACACCGCCCGUCACACCAUGAGAGCCGGGGGGACCCGAAGUCGGUAGUCUAACCGCAAGGAGGACGCCGCCGAAGGUAAAACUGGUGAUUGGGGUGAAGUCGUAACAAGGU
Molecule: ribosomal RNA, 1479 nt
Filed under: metagenome
Description: bacterial SSU rRNA
Rfam family: Bacterial small subunit ribosomal RNA
Source: RNAcentral